RNAcentral lists this ribosomal RNA (265 nucleotides) under uncultured bacterium. RNAcentral describes it as "partial 16S ribosomal RNA". It matches the Rfam family "Bacterial small subunit ribosomal RNA", at positions 335 to 593 of the family's 1533-position model. The record is from RNAcentral.
GGCCUACGGGGGGCAGCAGUAGGGAAUCUUCCACAAUGGACGAAAGUCUGAUGGAGCAACGCCGCGUGAGUGAAGAAGGGUUUCGGCUCGUAAAGCUCUGUUGGGAGUGAAGAAAGAUAGAGGUAGUAACUGGCCUUUAUUUGACGGUAAUUACUUAGAAAGUCACGGCUAACUACGUGCCAGCAGCCGCGGUAAUAAGUAGGUGGCAAGCGUUAUCCGGAUUUACUGGGUGUAAAGGGCGUGGAGGCGGGGGUGCAAGUCAGAU